UCUAAUGAGCUCCUGUGAGUCAGAUUGAAACUAUUCUUUUGGUAGACGAGAUUGAUGAGCUAGCUCUAGAUUCUCUCGUAGUUCCAGAGCCUCUGCCAUGAGCGGGGAAGAGAUCUCCUUGUACCAUAACUUGUACUUAGGAGAGAAGGUUGGUCGUUGUUCAGGACCCAACGAAGACCCGCCGUGAGUUAGUUGGGUGACCAGGAGGCGUCGGUGUUACAGAUGCUGGUGUUGCUCGGUAGCGGCGUGAGA
RNAcentral lists this long non-coding RNA (252 nucleotides) under Brassica rapa (field mustard). RNAcentral describes it as "long non-coding RNA (BRAP_LNC001291)". Lineage: Eukaryota; Viridiplantae; Streptophyta; Magnoliopsida; Brassicales; Brassicaceae. The record is from RNAcentral.